RNAcentral lists this transfer RNA (380 nucleotides) under uncultured bacterium. RNAcentral describes it as "partial 16S-23S ribosomal RNA intergenic spacer". The record is from RNAcentral.
UUUCUAGGGAGACUGAGAGCUUCGGCUCUCCACUCCUAGGUCGGUCUCCGGCGCAAGCCGGGGUUUUGAUUGGCCUAAUUUUCCUUCCGCUAUCCAGAGGUUAAGGUGAAACUGUUUUCAGGGGAUUAUCACGGCGGCGGUACGCGAACAGCGUCCGCCGCUUGAUUUUAACGUAGCCCCUGGGCUAGAAUUAACUUCACCUUUUCACCCCGGGCCAUUAGCUCAGUUGGUUAGAGCGCGGUCCUGAUAGGACCGAGGUCCUUGGUUCGAGACCAAGAUGGCCCACCACCUUUUCUGAACGUAAACUCACCAUUUCAUCCACCUUUCCUUUAUAUAAGACUGAGGUCUCCAAUGGCCUAUUUUUGAUCAUUGGAGUGCUC